RNAcentral lists this ribosomal RNA (659 nucleotides) under Klebsiella aerogenes. RNAcentral's name for it is "bacterial SSU rRNA". It matches the Rfam family "Bacterial small subunit ribosomal RNA", at positions 117 to 771 of the family's 1533-position model. Lineage: Bacteria; Pseudomonadati; Pseudomonadota; Gammaproteobacteria; Enterobacterales; Enterobacteriaceae. The record is from RNAcentral.
CUGGGAAACUGCCUGAUGGAGGGGGAUAACUACUGGAAACGGUAGCUAAUACCGCAUAACGUCGCAAGACCAAAGUGGGGGACCUUCGGGCCUCAUGCCAUCAGAUGUGCCCAGAUGGGAUUAGCUAGUAGGUGGGGUAAUGGCUCACCUAGGCGACGAUCCCUAGCUGGUCUGAGAGGAUGACCAGCCACACUGGAACUGAGACACGGUCCAGACUCCUACGGGAGGCAGCAGUGGGGAAUAUUGCACAAUGGGCGCAAGCCUGAUGCAGCCAUGCCGCGUGUAUGAAGAAGGCCUUCGGGUUGUAAAGUACUUUCAGCGAGGAGGAAGGCGUUAAGGUUAAUAACCUUGGCGAUUGACGUUACUCGCAGAAGAAGCACCGGCUAACUCCGUGCCAGCAGCCGCGGUAAUACGGAGGGUGCAAGCGUUAAUCGGAAUUACUGGGCGUAAAGCGCACGCAGGCGGUCUGUCAAGUCGGAUGUGAAAUCCCCGGGCUCAACCUGGGAACUGCAUUCGAAACUGGCAGGCUAGAGUCUUGUAGAGGGGGGUAGAAUUCCAGGUGUAUCGGUGAAAUGCGUAGAGAUCUGGAGGAAUACCGGUGGCGAAGGCGGCCCCCUGGACAAAGACUGACGCUCAGGUGCGAAAGCGUGGGGGAGCAA